RNAcentral lists this ribosomal RNA (503 nucleotides) under uncultured bacterium. RNAcentral's name for it is "partial 16S ribosomal RNA". It matches the Rfam family "Bacterial small subunit ribosomal RNA", at positions 30 to 523 of the family's 1533-position model. The record is from RNAcentral.
AUUGAACGCUGGCGGCAGGCUUAACACAUGCAAGUCGAGCGGGGUGAUGGUGCUUGCACUAUCACUUAGCGGCGGACGGGUGAGUAAUGCUUAGGAAUCUGCCUAUUAGUGGGGGACAACAUCUCGAAAGGGAUGCUAAUACCGCAUACGUCCUACGGGAGAAAGCAGGGGAUCACUUGUGACCUUGCGCUAAUAGAUGAGCCUAAGUCGGAUUAGCUAGUUGGUGGGGUAAAGGCCUACCAAGGCGACGAUCUGUAGCGGGUCUGAGAGGAUGAUCCGCCACACUGGGACUGGGACACGGCCCAGACUCCUACGGGAGGCAGCAGUGGGGAAUAUUGGACAAUGGGGGGAACCCUGAUCCAGCCAUGCCGCGUGUGUGAAGAAGGCCUUAUGGUUGCAAAGCACUUUAAGCGAGGAGGAGGCUUACCUAGUUAAUACCUGGGAUAAGUGGACGUUACUCGCAGAAUAAGCACCGGCUAACUCUGUGCCAGCCGCCGCCGUAA